AAGUCGUAACAAGGUCUCCGUUGGUGAACCAGCGGAGGGAUCAUUACCGAGUUUUCAACUCCCAAACCCACCGUGAACAUAUACCUUUGUUUUCGUUGCCUCGGCGGUUCGCGCCGCCGGGUGACACCUAAACCCUGAUUUAAUUACAGAAGUCUUUCUGAGUAAAAACAUUCUAAAUGAAUCAAAACUUUCAACAACGGAUCUCUUGGUUCUG
Molecule: unclassified non-coding RNA, 214 nt
Filed under: Marquandomyces marquandii
Lineage: Eukaryota; Fungi; Ascomycota; Sordariomycetes; Hypocreales; Clavicipitaceae
Description: Metarhizium marquandii partial internal transcribed spacer region
Rfam family: Eukaryotic small subunit ribosomal RNA (bases 1-46)
Source: RNAcentral